Molecule: long non-coding RNA, 304 nt
Organism: Bos taurus (domestic cattle)
Lineage: Eukaryota; Metazoa; Chordata; Mammalia; Artiodactyla; Bovidae
Source: Ensembl
ACCCAACAGGGGGCGCCAAACAACAACUAACCUGGACCCACCUCCCGUGAGGGUUUAUAAAUUCUCCAUUUUUGAAGUAGCCCUGGUUUUGCACUUAGGCGCAUUUCAGCCAGAAAAGUUUGGUUGUUGGCUGCUGCAAUAUGUGGACGAUCUGCUCCUGGCCGCUGAGAACAAGGAUGAUUGCUGGGAAGGAACCAAGGCCUCGCUGAGACUGCUGAUGGAGGCUGGUUACCGGGUCUCGAAAAAGAAGGCUCGGAUCUGCAAGGAGGAGAGACUAACCUCACUUCCCCAGAUCAGCAUUAGG